ACGUCAGAAGAGCCUUUCGAAUGCAGGGAGGAUGGGGACUUUCUAGCCACAGCAGGCUUUCUCCAGCAUCAGGUCACUCUUAGCAUGGGGGAGCCACAGAAGAGCAUACCAUGUGCAGCAGCCUUUCUCAUCAUGCAAAGGCAUUACCAAUGCAGUCAACUUGGAAAUGCCUUCAGCCACAAUUUCACAGUUGUUUAGCAACAGAGAGUCCACACUGGGGAAAGGCCUUAUGGGUGUAGAGAAUAUGGGGAAUUCUUUAGACAGGCCUCCACUCUCAAUAUGCAUCGAGUUCACACUAAAGAAAAGUCUGUGCAGCAAAUUAAACCCUUUCAACAGCAAGUGAGAUUUACUCAGCAUCAGCAAAUCCACAUUGGAGAAAGGCCUUAUGAGUGCAUCUCCUAAGAGAUGUGAGUUGGAGACCCUGCCUUUCCAUCUGGAGCAGUGGUUAAAUUUGACAGCUACUACUCUGAUCUCUUUCAACACCAAAGAGUUCACACCAGAGAAAAACCUUAUGAGUACAGCAAAUGUGAGAAAUUAUCCAAAGCCCCAGCCUCAGUAAACAUCAGAGAGUUCACUCUGAUGAAAGUUUUCAUGAGUGUAGUGACUAUGG
RNAcentral lists this long non-coding RNA (610 nucleotides) under Homo sapiens (human). Its description in RNAcentral is "non-protein coding lnc-ZNF599-4:1". The record is from RNAcentral. Lineage: Eukaryota; Metazoa; Chordata; Mammalia; Primates; Hominidae.